This 976-nucleotide ribosomal RNA is filed under the name Salmonella enterica. RNAcentral's name for it is "partial 23S ribosomal RNA". It matches the Rfam family "Bacterial large subunit ribosomal RNA", at positions 176 to 1190 of the family's 2925-position model. The record is from RNAcentral. Lineage: Bacteria; Pseudomonadati; Pseudomonadota; Gammaproteobacteria; Enterobacterales; Enterobacteriaceae.
GAGGCGAACCGGGGGAACUGAAACAUCUAAGUACCCCGAGGAAAAGAAAUCAACCGAGAUUCCCCCAGUAGCGGCGAGCGAACGGGGAGGAGCCCAGAGCCUGAAUCAGCAUGUGUGUUAGUGGAAGCGUCUGGAAAGGCGCGCGAUACAGGGUGACAGCCCCGUACACAAAAGCGCAUGUGCUGUGAGCUCGAUGAGUAGGGCGGGACACGUGGUAUCCUGUCUGAAUAUGGGGGGACCAUCCUCCAAGGCUAAAUACUCCUGACUGACCGAUAGUGAACCAGUACCGUGAGGGAAAGGCGAAAAGAACCCCGGCGAGGGGAGUGAAAAAGAACCUGAAACCGUGUACGUACAAGCAGUGGGAGCACAGGUUUACCUGUGUGACUGCGUACCUUUUGUAUAAUGGGUCAGCGACUUAUAUUCUGUAGCAAGGUUAACCGUAUAGGGGAGCCGCAGGGAAACCGAGUCUUAAUUGGGCGUUAAGUUGCAGGGUAUAGACCCGAAACCCGGUGAUCUAGCCAUGGGCAGGUUGAAGGUUGGGUAACACUAACUGGAGGACCGAACCGACUAAUGUUGAAAAAUUAGCGGAUGACCUGUGGCUGGGGGUGAAAGGCCAAUCAAACCGGGAGAUAGCUGGUUCUCCCCGAAAGCUAUUUAGGUAGCGCCUCGUGAAUUCAUCUCCGGGGGUAGAGCACUGUUUCGGCUAGGGGGCCAUCCCGGCUUACCAACCCGAUGCAAACUGCGAAUACCGGAGAAUGUUAUCACGGGAGACACACGGCGGGUGCUAACGUCCGUCGUGAAGAGGGAAACAACCCAGACCGCCAGCUAAGGUCCCAAAGUCAUGGUUAAGUGGGAAACGAUGUGGGAAGGCCCAGACAGCCAGGAUGUUGGCUUAGAAGCAGCCAUCAUUUAAAGAAAGCGUAAUAGCUCACUGGUCGAGUCGGCCUGCGCGGAAGAUGUAACGGGGCUAAACCAU